This 467-nucleotide ribosomal RNA is filed under the name uncultured bacterium. RNAcentral's name for it is "bacterial SSU rRNA". It matches the Rfam family "Bacterial small subunit ribosomal RNA", at positions 29 to 506 of the family's 1533-position model. The record is from RNAcentral.
ACGAACGCUGGCGGCGUGCUUAACACAUGCAAGUCGAACGGUGACCCUGGAGCUUGCUCCGGGCGAUCAGUGGCGAACGGGUGAGUAACACGUGAGUAACCUGCCCCAGACUCUGGGAUAACCUCGGGAAACCGGGGCUAAUACCGGAUAUGAGAAGCUUCCGCAUGGAAUGCUUCUGGAAAGAUUUAUCGGUCUGGGAUGGACUCGCGGCCUAUCAGCUAGUUGGUGAGGUAAUGGCUCACCAAGGCGACGACGGGUAGCCGGCCUGAGAGGGCGACCGGCCACACUGGAACUGAGACACGGUCCAGACUCCUACGGGAGGCAGCAGUGGGGAAUAUUGCACAAUGGGCGCAAGCCUGAUGCAGCGACGCCGCGUGGGGGAUGAAGGCCUUCGGGUUGUAAACCCCUUUCAGCAGGGAAGAAGCGAAAGUGACGGUACCUGCAGAAGAAGCGCCGGCUAACUACGU